CAGGGAACAGAAAUUCAUACACUAUGAACACCAGAAAAAAAUACCCCUGGGUAAUUGAGUCAGCUGACUCAAAUGGUGUAGGGGCCUCAGUUAGAGGACCAAAUUUUGGACUCCUUGGUCUUUCUGCCAAAAGAGUAAUUGCUCAUGUUUAUAGAUGCAAAUGUUUUUGCCAUUUUGGUUCCUAGAAAUGCCCUAGGGAGAUGUUAUUUUUGGUAAGGGGUCUUCCUGCUUCAAGUGUAAUGACUGUGAACAACUAGUUUCAGUAUCUUCUCUAGCAUGCCAGGGUAAAAUGAAGCAAAAUAAAUAGAGGAAGUGCCAUGACCUUUAUUGAGGAUCUACUGGGUGCCAGGCAAAAUGCUUUUUUUUUUUUUUUUUUUUUUUUUGAGACAGGGUCUUGCUCUCUUGCCCAGGCUGGAGUGCAGCAGUGCAAUCUUGGCUGACGGCAAGCUCUGCCUCCCGGGUUCCUGCCAUUCUCCUGCCUCAGCCUCCCAGGUAGCUGGGACUACAGGCGCCCGCCACCACGCCCAGCUUAUUUUGUUUUUGUAUUUUUAGUAGAGAUACAGUUUCAUCGUGUUAGCCAGGAUGGUCUCCAUCUCCUGACCUUGUGAUCCACCCACCUCAGCCUCCCAAAGUACUGGGAUUACAGGUGUGAGCCACUGUGCCUGCCCAGUGCUGCGAUCUCGACUCACUGCAGCUUUCGCUUCCUGGGUUCAAGCGAUUCUUCUGCCUCAGCCUCCUGAGUAGCUGGGAUUACAGGCGUGCACCACCAUACCUGGCUAAUUUUUGUAUUUUUAAUAGAGACAUUAUUUUUAAUGUAUUUUUCCUGUUGGCCAGGCUGGUCUUGAACUCCUGGCCUCAAGCGAUACACCUGCCUCAGCCUCCCAAAGUGCUGGGAUUACAGGUGUGAGCCCCACGCCCGACAAGGUGCAUUUUUAUGUGCUUUUUCUCCUCUGUCUUCUCAACAACCCUGGGGUAAAAGGCCUCAUUUCCACUUUUCCUAUGAGAACAAUAAAGUAGAAAGAGGUAAAAGACUGCCUCUAAGAUCACCCAGCACAGAGCAGGGAUUUGAUUUCAGGUGUGUCUUGUUCCAAACUUAAUAUACUGUGCUGCUGGGGGAAAACAAAGAGCAAAAGGUUCUUAACUGAAGUCAAAGACGACCAAGAAAAUGUAGGCAGAUGUCAGGUCUGAUCAUGUGGAUGCUCAAAUGAUAAACAGACACAUUGAGAGAAAUUGUAUUAAUUAAAUCAUAAAAAUAUGUUCCGCUUUUUGGGGAAUUUACUCCUCCUCCUGGGGUGACCCUUGACAAGACAUUCUGUCUUCCUGUUUUUAAGCAAAAAAAAAAAAAAAAAGUGGGUAGAAGAUGAAAGUUUGAUAUUUCGCUCAUGCAUAGCUUUGUCUCCUUAAUAUAUUUUGUGCUUGCCUGUCAUUUCAGCUUUCUGCUGGCAGACGAAGCUCCUUCAACUGCCAUUCCUACUUCUGACACUCCUCUUGUCCUUUUCAGGACAACUUUAUGCCUAUUGUGCCUUGGGUCUUGAGAAGCAUGUGGUAAAACUGGCCAGUGGUGAUGGCAGGCAUAGCAGGGAAUCAGAUUGAGGGGGGCUGUGUGUAAGGGAGUGGUGACCUUCUUAAGCGGAGAGCUCUUCCAUCAGAGGGCUCCCUAAGGGCAUCUCUGUUCCUAGCCGGGGAGCCGUCACCCCACUUUGUUCUGCUUAGCCUAAGACACGCAACUUUUUCCAGCUUUUACUCUUCGCUGAAUUCUCACGGUGGGGUUGGGGGGAUGUUCAGGCUCAGGAGCGAGGUUGGGGGCCCGGCCCGCUGGGCGCUGUUCACCGGUAGCCCGGACCAGAGCAGGAGUUUCAUCAUUACCUGCUGGGAUAGGUGGGACACAUGUAUUUCCGGGGCCACCCCAGACCUCCCGGAGGAUGCUGAUUGACACUGUCCAGUUUGAGAACUACUGUGUCCAGGGAGCAGAGGCCUCCCCAUAACCCCUUGGGUUGUGGACGUCUGGCCCAGGGCUUCUCUGGGUGAGCGGGGCGGGCAUCAGAGCGCGUGGAACCUGGGGCGGGAGGUCGGGGCAGUGAAGGAGGAGGAGAAGGAGGAGGCGGAGACCGAGGGGGAGGGAGGGGAGGAGGAAGAGGAGGAGGAGUCCCUCGUGGCCACCCCGAGGGGAGGGCGACCGUAGAGACUUGGUCGGGAGGCGCCGGCCCAGCGAGGCCGCUGGGACUGUGCACUGAGGGGCGCUGACCGUUGGACGCGCGCUCCCCGCAGACCCUCGCUGAAGGAGCAGGGGGCGGCGCGCGUGCGCGGGGCGCCGGGCGGCGCGCGAGGGGGC
Molecule: long non-coding RNA, 2332 nt
Filed under: Homo sapiens (human)
Lineage: Eukaryota; Metazoa; Chordata; Mammalia; Primates; Hominidae
Description: non-protein coding lnc-GRK3-1:1
Source: RNAcentral